This 3078-nucleotide long non-coding RNA is filed under the name Phoenix dactylifera (date palm). Its description in RNAcentral is "long non-coding RNA (PDAC_LNC010322)". The record is from RNAcentral. Lineage: Eukaryota; Viridiplantae; Streptophyta; Magnoliopsida; Arecales; Arecaceae.
AAGAUAUUCAUUAAAAACAAUAAGUUCAUACAACUCCNNNNNNNNNNNNNNNNNNNNNNNNNNNNNNNNNNNNUUUGUUAGGGCUGCAUCCGGCCCCAGUGAAGAGUUCAGCCUUCCAUGGAGUCGUGGGCGACAGCAGCAGUGGCACAGCAGCCCAUUUCUAUCACGAUCGGCUUCCUCUGCCUCAGCACUUCAUUUUUUUUCUUUCUUUUGAGAAGGCAUUCCCAAAAAGACCCAAACUUCUCUCCCUCCUCUGUUUCCCGUGGGAUUUGGCCUGAUAACCCAAGCUUUUCUCUCCCUCUAGUCUUCUAUGGGAUUCGGCCUGUGAACAAUGUGGAACCCCUCCCGGUGGGGAAUGAAUCCUCCUCUGUUCACCCUGGGGCCCUUUUAUAGGCUGCGACCUUGAUCUCUCCUCUUCCCUAUUUUCGAGUGGAGGAUAAGGAUGAGGCUUUGGAUUUGAUGCUGGAUUUGGAAGAAGGAUACGAUUUUUCUGGGAUAAGGAUGGGAAGACUCCGUUAGCAGUGGAUAAGGAUGGAUUAUGUUGAGAUGCACAGAGGAAGCGUGGGAAUCCGGCUGGCCGCGGGAUAGAGAUAAGGUUGAUGGGAUGCUAGGAUUUGUUCAUGAUCGGGAAGAGAUCUGAUCUUGAUGUUGGGGGAAAUCUCACGAACGGCUGGAACACAUGGAUGAAGGGAGUUUCGAUUUGGUUCAUGGUUGAUUCGUGAGAUAAAGAUGAACUCGGAACAGGGGAACUGGGAACUGAUCCUUGAAUCGCGGACGGGAUGAAGGUGAAUCACAGAAAAAUCGCUGGGACUCUGUUUCAACACAGGGGAAUCCGGAAGGAAAGAAACCUUUGAUGCGUGGAACCUCUCGCAUGCAUCACGGGUGGAUGAGGCAUGGCAGAUGGGAGGAGAUCUUUGGAAGAAUCCUUCGGCUGGGAACAGGGGAGAUGUUUACGGCUGGGAGGAAUUCGUGGAUGAGAGCCGGACACAGGGAUUUCGAGAUUUGCUGGGAAAUGUUCCUUGAAUCGCGGACGGAACGGCAUUAGCUUCAUUCGUGGGACACAGGAGGAAGCUCGGAGAGCUUGGGACGUUGGGAUCAAUCAGGAAGAAACUGGGAUUUGAGUUUAUCCCACGGGCGAAGAGGAGGGGAGAUGAGCUGUGACAAGGUGAUAUGAGCUGGGAGCAGGGUUGGAUUGGGAUGAAGAUAGAUCACAAACAUGGUGAGCUGGGUUGGUUCGGAAGAUGCUAGGAAGAAUGAGGAUGAAUACGGAGACGUGUAAGUUGAAACAGGGGAUUCUUCCGUGGUCAAUUAAUCCGAAUAGGAGGGAGUUUGGAUUCGGUUGACAGUUGAGAUGAAGCUUGCUUGGAAUUCAUUCGUGGGAGAAGAAGGUUAUCCGGAAGAGGAUGAGAGCUGGAAGAUCUGGGAUGAGGUUGAGGAAAAGCUGAAGCUGGGAGAUAAGUGGAUCACGGAAGGAUGAACUCGAUUCGGUUGGAGGGGAGGAGGGCAUGCGUGAGAUGAGCGGAGCCUGGCUUGGGAUUUGAAGGUUGGCAGUUGAGAUAUAACGGAGCAGGGGAUGCGGAUGGGAGUGAUCGAAAUAUGAAGCUUGGGACUCGGCUUGAUUUGAACGGGUGAAGAAAUCAGGGGAGAGAAGUUGGGAGGAUCAACGUGGAGGAGAUGACGGAGAACAGGGGAUGUUUCGGUUCUGGAUGAAUGUCGUGGAACAAGGGAGUUGGAAAGGAUUCGUAAAAUCUGGGACUUGGAAUUCAAUCAAACGCGGACGCUGGGAUGUUUGGUAGAUUAAGUCGGAAGAUAAGAUGGAGGAGUUGGAUUCGGAAGUUGGGAGGAAAGGCUGAUAUGUGGGAUAUUAGAAGGAUAGAUUCAGCUAGGAAUCUUGGUUUGGGAUGUCCGGGAUGCUUGCGGGUGGAAGCUUCUGUUCUUUGGACAUGGAAGGGUAGGUCAUCUUGUUGCAAGGUGAGGAUGUGGACAUAGGAAGGCCGUAUGCUGAGAAAAGAACUUGAUGGGUGAACGUGAAAAGAAUUUGAUGAAGUGUAUUGUGGGUUUAAGCAUCACAUAAUUGGAUUUGACUUGACCUGCAUACAUAAGGCUCAAUCAAUAAAUAAUCGAAUCAAACUUGAAUUACCUUUGAUAAUUUAUUAAAAUGCAAUGGUGAAGAAAACACUUUUUUUUAGUUAAAUUCACAAAAUAUAUGAAUUAAAAUAAUGAUAAGUGCUAUGAAUAAGAUAUUAAUUUAUGCAUUAUUUAGCACUUAUCACACCCCCCAACCUACAUUUUGCUAAUCCUCAAGCAAAAUAAAAUAAAAAAACUAACUCACUUUCGCAGGAAUCGCGAUUGCAUUUACCGUAUGCAAUAAGGCUUUAAACCCCUAGGUGGCCCUAGUGGACGAGUUUUGUCUCGUGAGGGUUUCCGGCUCAGAUACCCACAAACUGCUGUCUCUACCCAAAAGAAUUUAUUUUAUUGCUUUAUAAAAUCUAAUUUCAAAUGCAUAAGUGCUAAAAAUUUCAAAAGCACACAAAGUUUUAAUUACUAAGUCAGCCCAAAUCCUAGGUCAAGAUGAAAUUCAAGUUGAGGUCAUUAAGUUUCCGUUAGGGAGUUGUAAGACUUUUUAUACUUGGGUGCUCGGUGAAAUCUGGACCUUACACAAGCUAAGGCUUUAGAUUCUCCAAAAUACUGCUAAAGCUAGUAGUUUCUAAGAAUUGGUCAGAUAAGAUCUAUUCACUGAUUCAAAAUCAUCCUAUCUUGCAGGAUUUCGAGAGUUGUGGAUGUUUACUUUAAUACCUCAUGGGCUUUAUCUGUAAUAUUCCAGUUUACUCGAAUUUUUUACAAUGACGGCUUUCACACUAUCGUCUUUUUCAAGGUCAAUAUUAUUUUCUCUUUCUCUGUUUUUUUGUUUUUUUUAAUUUAUUUUUUUAUUUUGUAUUUAUAAAUUACGCACUUUUACUCUUGUAAUGAUUCCUCCGUGUAGCGAGCAUUCAGUCAACACUCCCACACCAGAUGGCAUAAGGUGUUAGGCAUCAAGACUCCCCUACGGACCUAUGCUCGGGUUCAUCAUACAAGCCC